Molecule: ribosomal RNA, 301 nt
Filed under: uncultured bacterium
Lineage: Bacteria
Description: partial 16S ribosomal RNA
Rfam family: Bacterial small subunit ribosomal RNA
Source: RNAcentral
CAGUAGCCACGGUAAAACGAAGGGGGCUAGCGUUGCUCGGAAUCACUGGGCGUAAAGGGUGCGUAGGCGGGUCUUUAAGUCAGGGGUGAAAUCCUGGAGCUCAACUCCAGAACUGCCUUUGAUACUGAAGAUCUUGAGUUCGGGAGAGGUGAGUGGAACUGCGAGUGUAGAGGUGAAAUUCGUAGAUAUUCGCAAGAACACCAGUGGCGAAGGCGGCUCACUGGCCCGAUACUGACGCUGAGGCACGAAAGCGUGGGGAGCAAACAGGAUUAGAUACCCCAGUAGUCCCUGUCUCUUAUAC